RNAcentral lists this ribosomal RNA (811 nucleotides) under Escherichia coli. Its description in RNAcentral is "partial 23S ribosomal RNA". It matches the Rfam family "Bacterial large subunit ribosomal RNA", at positions 2038 to 2843 of the family's 2925-position model. Lineage: Bacteria; Pseudomonadati; Pseudomonadota; Gammaproteobacteria; Enterobacterales; Enterobacteriaceae. The record is from RNAcentral.
GAAAUUGAACUCGCUGUGAAGAUGCAGUGUACCCGCGGCAAGACGGAAAGACCCCGUGAACCUUUACUAUAGCUUGACACUGAACAUUGAGCCUUGAUGUGUAGGAUAGGUGGGAGGCUUUGAAGUGUGGACGCCAGUCUGCAUGGAGCCGACCUUGAAAUACCACCCUUUAAUGUUUGAUGUUCUAACGUUGACCCGUAAUCCGGGUUGCGGACAGUGUCUGGUGGGUAGUUUGACUGGGGCGGUCUCCUCCUAAAGAGUAACGGAGGAGCACGAAGGUUGGCUAAUCCUGGUCGGACAUCAGGAGGUUAGUGCAAUGGCAUAAGCCAGCUUGACUGCGAGCGUGACGGCGCGAGCAGGUGCGAAAGCAGGUCAUAGUGAUCCGGUGGUUCUGAAUGGAAGGGCCAUCGCUCAACGGAUAAAAGGUACUCCGGGGAUAACAGGCUGAUACCGCCCAAGAGUUCAUAUCGACGGCGGUGUUUGGCACCUCGAUGUCGGCUCAUCACAUCCUGGGGCUGAAGUAGGUCCCAAGGGUAUGGCUGUUCGCCAUUUAAAGUGGUACGCGAGCUGGGUUUAGAACGUCGUGAGACAGUUCGGUCCCUAUCUGCCGUGGGCGCUGGAGAACUGAGGGGGGCUGCUCCUAGUACGAGAGGACCGGAGUGGACGCAUCACUGGUGUUCGGGUUGUCAUGCCAAUGGCACUGCCCGGUAGCUAAAUGCGGAAGAGAUAAGUGCUGAAAGCAUCUAAGCACGAAACUUGCCCCGAGAUGAGUUCUCCCUGACUCCUUGAGAGUCCUGAAGGAACGUUGAAG